GUGGGGAAUUUUGGACAAUGGGCGCAAGCCUGAUCCAGCAAUGCCGCGUGCAGGAAGAAGGCCUUCGGGUUGUAAACUGCUUUUGUACGGAACGAAACGGUCCGGGUUAAUACCCUGGGCUAAUGACGGUACCGUAAGAAUAAGCACCGGCUAACUACGUGCCAGCAGCCGCGGUAAUACGUAGGGUGCAAGUGUUAAUCGGAAUUACUGGGCGUAAAGCGUGCGCAGGCGGUUUUGUAAGACAGGCGUGAAAUCCCCGGGCUCAACCUGGGAAUUGCGCUUGUGACUGAAAGGCUGGAGUGCGGCAGAGGGGGAUGGAAUUCCGCGUGUAGCGGUGAAAUGCGUAGAUAUGCGGAGGAACACCGAUGGCGAAGGCAAUCCCCUGGGCCUGCACUGACGCUCAUGCACGAAAGCGUGGGGAGCAAACAGGAUUAGAUACCCUUGUAGUCC
RNAcentral lists this ribosomal RNA (450 nucleotides) under uncultured bacterium. RNAcentral describes it as "partial 16S ribosomal RNA". It matches the Rfam family "Bacterial small subunit ribosomal RNA", at positions 354 to 796 of the family's 1533-position model. The record is from RNAcentral.